Molecule: ribosomal RNA, 446 nt
Filed under: uncultured bacterium
Lineage: Bacteria
Description: partial 16S ribosomal RNA
Rfam family: Bacterial small subunit ribosomal RNA
Source: RNAcentral
CCUACGGGGGACAGCAGUCGAGAAUCAUUCACAAUGGGGGAAACCCUGAUGGUGCGACGCCGCGUGGGGGAAUGAAGGUCUUCGGAUUGUAAACCCCUGUCAUGUGGGAGCAAAUUAAAAAGAUAGUACCACAAGAGGAAGAGACGGCUAACUCUGUGCCAGCAGCCGCGGUAAUACAGAGGGCUCAAGCGUUGUUCGGAAUCACUGGGCGUAAGGCGUGCGUAGGCUGUUUCGUAAGUCGUGUGUGAAAGGCGCGGGCUCAACCCGCGGACGGCACAUGAUACUGCGAGACUAGAGUAAUGGAGGGGGAACCGGAAUUCUCGGUGUAGCAGUGAAAUGCGUAGAUAGCGAGAGGAACACUCGUGGCGAAGGCGGGUUCCUGGACAUUAACUGACGCUGAGGCACGAAGGCCAGGGGAGCGAAAGGGAUUAGAUACCCCAGUAGUC